Marinilactibacillus sp. 15R is the source of this 192-nucleotide non-coding RNA. NCBI's taxonomy places the organism in Bacteria, Bacillati, Bacillota, Bacilli, Lactobacillales, Carnobacteriaceae. The record is from Rfam.
ACAUCCUUUAACAAGUAGUCCAGUGAGGCUAAUAAGGAGCAGAAAUUUCUUGGAAUAGAACUGAUUUAUAUAUUAUAGUCAGUAGACUCCAGGAAAUUAUUAGUGGGAAAAUGUAUUUCAAAACACCCCUAACCCUAAUGAAUAUUUUAGGAAGCUCUCUUAUUCUUGCAUGGAUAAGAGGGCUUUUUGUAU